GACGAACGCUGGCGGCGUGCUUAACACAUGCAAGUCGAACGAAGAGCGAUGGAAGCUUGCUUCUAUCAAUCUUAGUGGCGAACGGGUGAGUAACGCGUAAUCAACCUGCCCUUCAGAGGGGAAAACCAGUUGGAACCAAUGCCGAAUACGUCAUCCGGCCAAAUCCGGGCAUCGGGAAAACAUGAAGGGGGCCCACUAUUAUAAGUCAACUACGGAAGAUGGGGGUGUGACUGCCUAGCUAGGUGGGGGGGUAACGGCCCACCAAGGCGAUGAUCAGUAACCGGUCUGAGAGGAUGAACGGCCACAUUGGGACUGAGACACGGCCCAGACUCCUACGGGAGGCAGCAGUGGGGAAUCUUCCGCAAUGGACGAAAGUCUGACGGAGCAACGCCGCGUGAGUGAUGACGGCCUUCGGGUUGUAAAGCUCUGUUAAUCGGGACGAAAGGCCUUCUUGCGAACAGUUAGAAGGAUUGACGGUACCGGAGUAGAAAGCCACGGCUAACUACGUG
Molecule: ribosomal RNA, 509 nt
Filed under: uncultured bacterium
Lineage: Bacteria
Description: partial 16S ribosomal RNA
Rfam family: Bacterial small subunit ribosomal RNA
Source: RNAcentral